AACGAACGCUGGCGGCAUGCCUAACACAUGCAAGUCGAACGAGACCUUCGGGUCUAGUGGCGCACGGGUGCGUAACGCGUGGGAACCUGCCCUUAGGUUCGGAAUAACUCCCCGAAAGGGGUGCUAAUACCGGAUAAUGUCUUCGGACGAAAGAUUUAUCGCCUUUGGAUGGGCCCGCGUUGGAUUAGCUAGUUGGUAGGGUAAAAGCCUACCAAGGCGACGAUCCAUAGCUGGUCGGAGAGGAUGAUCAGCCACACUGGGACUGAGACACGGCCCAGACUCCUACGGGAGGCAGCAGUGGGGAAUAUUGGACAAGGGGCGAAAGCCUGAUCCAGCAAUGCCGCGUGAGUGAUGAAGGCCUUAGGGUUGUAAAGCUCUUUUACCCGGGAUGAUAAUGACAGUACCGGGAGAAUAAGCUCCGGCUAACUCCGUG
Molecule: ribosomal RNA, 433 nt
Filed under: uncultured bacterium
Lineage: Bacteria
Description: partial 16S ribosomal RNA
Rfam family: Bacterial small subunit ribosomal RNA
Source: RNAcentral